CUUUCGGAGCUGUGCGGCAUUCUGAGCAGGAAUGGCAGUGUGGACCUCUGUGAUGGGACAUCUUGUGGGAUCUCACAGCCAGUUCUGUGGCAAAGGAGGAUGAAGGCUUACGAGGACUCGUCAGGAAGCUGGAUAACAGAGCGAGCGCAAUGUGCUAGAAUAGAAGACCAGAAAAUGAAAUGGUGGAGUUUGAGGCUGGAUAGACAGUUUGAAAGUUAACUGGUUGCAUGCUUGUUCAUUUGGCUGGCUUGCUUGGGUACAAAUAAUGGUUUGAAUAAAGAAAGGUAUUAAUGGGUCACCUCAAGUGAAGGCACUGCAAACACAAUGAUUGGUCAUUCUGAAUUUCCGGUCCUUCAUUCUGAAUUUCAAAGGCUCCUGUGACAAGUGGACAUGCAGUGACUGCACCUUUGUUUCUGAGGUGCCUGGAUGGAGGCUCAAAUAGAAGAUGGUGUCAGAUAUAUUGUGUUAAAAUUUUACCAUUAAAGUGUAUUAUAACAUGAA
Molecule: long non-coding RNA, 501 nt
Filed under: Mus musculus (house mouse)
Lineage: Eukaryota; Metazoa; Chordata; Mammalia; Rodentia; Muridae
Description: growth arrest specific 5 (Gas5)
Source: RNAcentral